AUACGGAGGGUGCAAGCGUUACUCGGAAUCACUGGGCGUAAAGCGCGCGCAGGCGGCUUGAUAAGUUGGAUGUGAAAGCCUACGGCUCAACCGUAGAACUGCAUCCAAAACUGUCAAGCUAGAGUCUGGGAGGGGAAGAUGGAAUUAGUUGUGUAGGGGUAAAAUCCGUGGAGAUAACUAGGAAUACCAAAAGCGAAGGCGAUCUUCUGGAACAGUACUGACGCUGAGGCGCGAAAGCGUGGGGAGCAAACAGGAUUAGAAACCCCAGUAGUCC
Molecule: ribosomal RNA, 274 nt
Filed under: uncultured bacterium
Lineage: Bacteria
Description: partial 16S ribosomal RNA
Rfam family: Bacterial small subunit ribosomal RNA
Source: RNAcentral